This 252-nucleotide ribosomal RNA is filed under the name uncultured bacterium. RNAcentral's name for it is "partial 16S ribosomal RNA". It matches the Rfam family "Bacterial small subunit ribosomal RNA", at positions 524 to 776 of the family's 1533-position model. The record is from RNAcentral.
UACGAAGGGGGCUAGCGUUGCUCGGAAUCACUGGGCGUAAAGGGCGCGUAGGCGGCCAUUUAAGUCAGGGGUGAAAGCCUGUGGCUCAACCACAGAAUUGCCUUCGAUACUGGAUGGCUUGAGACCGGAAGAGGUAAGUGGAACUGCGAGUGUAGAGGUGAAAUUCGUAGAUAUUCGCAAGAACCCCAGUGGCGAAGGCGGCUUAUUGGUCCGGAUCGGACGCUGAGCGCGAAAGCGUGGGGAGCAAACAGG